This is a long non-coding RNA of Chrysemys picta bellii (western painted turtle), 502 nucleotides long. The record is from Ensembl. Lineage: Eukaryota; Metazoa; Chordata; Testudines; Emydidae.
ACAGGUUUUCCCAGAUCCCAGUUUCCCUAAGAAUUUCUUGGUGGCAAACCUAGUGGGAGCGAUCACAAAGUUCAAGGCCUCCCUUCCUCAGCAAAAUAAUGUGGGUCACCAAAAGUGUGGAAAGCAUAAUGAAGAACUGAAGUUGUAUUCUUAAACUGACCAGGUGUCUGUCUCUGUGGUAUGCUGGGAAUCCAGGGCUCACAGUCAUCUACCAGCAAUGCCCAGUUUCAACAAGUAUAAAGUGAUUCCUCAUUGGCAUAAAUUCAAUGGACCAAUCCAAUAUGCUGCUUAGAAAAAAAUGUUUGCAGAUCUCAGUCCAGGGCCAGAUACACUCCUCCGGACCCCCAUCCUGAGCUCUCAUGGUGGCCUAAUUCCUUGACUCAGGAGCCAGCCGGCUGGCAGAGGGCAGGCCCUGUCCAGUGCUCAGACUGGCUAAAGAACCAGAAGGAGGUGAGCAGCAGGAAAUGUGGCUGGGUGGGUCGGGUGAUUGGAGAGGCCUCAC